GGCUGAGUAGCUCAGUUGGUAUGAGCGAACGACUGAAAAUCGUUAGGUCGCCGGUUCGAUCCCGGCCUCAGCCACCA
Molecule: transfer RNA, 77 nt
Filed under: Candidatus Nanopelagicus limnae
Lineage: Bacteria; Bacillati; Actinomycetota; Actinomycetes; Candidatus Nanopelagicales; Candidatus Nanopelagicaceae
Also listed under: 3 other names
Description: Candidatus Nanopelagicus limnes tRNA-Phe
Rfam family: tRNA
About the family: Transfer RNA (tRNA) molecules are approximately 80 nucleotides in length. Their secondary structure includes four short double-helical elements and three loops (D, anti-codon, and T loops).
Source: RNAcentral